This 1585-nucleotide ribosomal RNA is filed under the name Sphingobacterium paludis. RNAcentral describes it as "bacterial SSU rRNA". It matches the Rfam family "Bacterial small subunit ribosomal RNA". Lineage: Bacteria; Pseudomonadati; Bacteroidota; Sphingobacteriia; Sphingobacteriales; Sphingobacteriaceae. The record is from RNAcentral.
AAAACGAUUCUGAUUAUUUAUUGAUAAAUAGUCGGGAGUCGAACAAUUCAUUUUUACAAUGGAGAGUUUGAUCCUGGCUCAGGAUGAACGCUAGCGGCAGGCCUAAUACAUGCAAGUCGAACGGGAUUGCGGUGUAGCUUGCUACACUGCAUGAGAGUGGCGCACGGGUGCGUAACGCGUGAGCAACCUACCCAUAUCAGGGGGAUAGCCCGGAGAAAUCCGGAUUAACACCGCAUGUUACAGUAUUACCGCAUGGUAUAGCUGUUAAAUAUUUAUAGGAUAUGGAUGGGCUCGCGUGACAUUAGCUAGUUGGUGGGGUAACGGCCCACCAAGGCGACGAUGUCUAGGGGCUCUGAGAGGAGAAUCCCCCACACUGGUACUGAGACACGGACCAGACUCCUACGGGAGGCAGCAGUAAGGAAUAUUGGUCAAUGGGCGGAAGCCUGAACCAGCCAUGCCGCGUGCAGGACGACUGCCCUAUGGGUUGUAAACUGCUUUUGUACGGGAAUAACCCUCUCUACGAGUAGAGAGCUGAACGUACCGUAAGAAUAAGGAUCGGCUAACUCCGUGCCAGCAGCCGCGGUAAUACGGAGGAUCCGAGCGUUAUCCGGAUUUAUUGGGUUUAAAGGGUGCGUAGGCGGCACUUUAAGUCAGGAGUGAAAGACGGCAGCUCAACUGUCGCAGUGCUCUUGAUACUGAAGUGCUUGAAUGCCGUUGAAGAUGGCGGAAUGAGACAAGUAGCGGUGAAAUGCAUAGAUAUGUCUCAGAACUCCGAUUGCGAAGGCAGCUAUCUAAGCGGUGAUUGACGCUGAUGCACGAAAGCGUGGGGAUCGAACAGGAUUAGAUACCCUGGUAGUCCACGCCCUAAACGAUGAUGACUCGAUGUUGGCGAUACACAGUCAGCGUCCAAGCGAAAGCGUUAAGUCAUCCACCUGGGGAGUACGCCCGCAAGGGUGAAACUCAAAGGAAUUGACGGGGGCCCGCACAAGCGGAGGAGCAUGUGGUUUAAUUCGAUGAUACGCGAGGAACCUUACCCGGGCUUGAAAGUUACUGAAGGUGGCAGAGACGCCACCGUCCUUUGGGACAGGAAACUAGGUGCUGCAUGGCUGUCGUCAGCUCGUGCCGUGAGGUGUUGGGUUAAGUCCCGCAACGAGCGCAACCCCUAUGUCCAGUUGCCAGCAUGUCAUGAUGGGGACUCUGGACAGACUGCCUGUGCAAACAGUGAGGAAGGCGGGGACGACGUCAAGUCAUCAUGGCCCUUACGUCCGGGGCUACACACGUGCUACAAUGGAUGGUACAACGGGCAGCUACACAGCAAUGUGGUGCGAAUCCCUAAAAGCCAUUCACAGUUCGGAUCGGGGUCUGCAACUCGACCCCGUGAAGUUGGAUUCGCUAGUAAUCGCGUAUCAGCAAUGACGCGGUGAAUACGUUCCCGGGCCUUGUACACACCGCCCGUCAAGCCAUGAAAGUUGGGGGUGCCUAAAGCAUGUAACCGCAAGGAGCGUGUUAGGGCAAAACCGAUAAUUGGGGCUAAGUCGUAACAAGGUAGCCGUACCGGAAGGUGCGGCUGGAAUACCUCCUUUCU